Molecule: long non-coding RNA, 2113 nt
Organism: Dreissena polymorpha
Lineage: Eukaryota; Metazoa; Mollusca; Bivalvia; Myida; Dreissenidae
Exons: 6
Source: RefSeq, a predicted model, not a curated record
ACUGUGGUACUGUUGAUGUGGUCGCAGUUUAAUAGGGAGAACGAGUGGACCCCGAGAACGAUUACACGCUUCAAGACAUCGUUAGCCACAGAAUCACCCAAUCGCACGACACUUUCCAGACUGUGGUACUGUUUGAUGUGGUCGCAGUUUAAUAGGGAGAACGAGUGGACCCCGAGAACGAUUACACGCAUUCAAGACAUCGUUAGCCACAGAAUCACCCAAUCGCACGACACUUUCCAGACUGUGGUACUGUUUGAUGUGGUCGCAGUUUAAUAGGGAGAACGAGUGGACCCCGAGAACGAUUACACGCAUUCAAGACAUCGUUAGCCACAGAAUCACCCAAUCGCACGACACUUUCCAGACUGUGGUACUGUUUGAUGUGGUCGCAGUUUAAUAGGGAGAACGAGUGGACCCCGAGAACGAUUACACGCAUUCAAGACAUCGUUAGCCACAGAAUCACCCAAUCGCACGACACUUUCCAGGUCAGGGUCUGAAUUCAACGGAAUAGAAUCUUGAACUUGUUUCUCUACACAGGGCACAUGCCUGCAGAAACUUUAUAGUUUGGAAAUACUCCUUUUUUGAAAAGUACACCUUUGUUUUUCCUAGCGUGAUUGUUUUUAUAACUGUGCUGUGAUUUCUUAUGGAGUGAUCUAAUUUUGAAUGGUAUUUUAAUGAAUGAAUAUCAAUAUUUGGUGCAUGUAUUAUGUAAUCAUAUGGGAAUAUACAUCUGUAAGACUGAUUGAUAGUGUCAAUAAUCAUUUUAAACAUUUGACAUAUAACUUGUGUGCUUCUCUACUAAAUAGAGUCAAAUGUUGUGAAUAGGAACACUAUUUUUUUGAUUAUUUCUGUUCUGGUUGUUUCCCUUGAAUUGUGUGAAUUUUUGGAAUUACUAUGAAAUACAAACAAAACACAGGAUACAGUUCAGAAAUGUUGCAUUUAAUUCAUUAAACAUUAUAUUUUAAUAUAACAAAAGCUUUUUGUUUUAUUAUGCAUAUAUUAAAAAACUUAAGGUGGCAGGGGAUAUAUCAGUGAAAGGGGGGUCCAUGAAAAUUACAUAUCUUUAGGGUAGGUGUUACCUAUGGUCUUUAAAAAUCAAUUAGGUAUUUAUAAGAUGUAUUUCUUGUGUUAGGUUGUAGAAAGAAUGUCUCAAAAUUUUGGAAAAAAACAUUACAACUAGCCACAGCUCCCUAGCAAGGAAAUUUUGAAUCUUCAAAAAGGAGGUUUUCACUUUUGUCGGAAGUCAAUAUUUCACGCUGCAGAAACAGAACAAAAUUUUGAAGACUGUGGUACUGUUUGAUGUGGUCGCAGUUUAAUAGGGAGAACGAGUGGACCCCGAGAACGAUUACACGCAUUCAAGACAUCGUUAGCCACAGAAUCACCCAAUCGCACGACACUUUCCAGACUGUGGUACUGUUUGAUGUGGUCGCAGUUUAAUAGGGAGAACGAGUGGACCCCGAGAACGAUUACACGCAUUCAAGACAUCGUUAGCCACAGAAUCACCCAAUCGCACGACACUUUCCAGGUCAGGGUCUGAAUUCAACGGAAUAGAAUCUUGAACUUGUUUCUCUACACAGGGCACAUGCCUGCAGAAACUUUAUAGUUUGGAAAUACUCCUUUUUUGAAAAGUACACCUUUGUUUUUCCUAGCGUGAUUGUUUUUAUAACUGUGCUGUGAUUUCUUAUGGAGUGAUCUAAUUUUGAAUGGUAUUUUAAUGAAUGAAUAUCAAUAUUUGGUGCAUGUAUUAUGUAAUCAUAUGGGAAUAUACAUCUGUAAGACUGAUUGAUAGUGUCAAUAAUCAUUUUAAACAUUUGACAUAUAACUUGUGUGCUUCUCUACUAAAUAGAGUCAAAUGUUGUGAAUAGGAACACUAUUUUUUUGAUUAUUUCUGUUCUGGUUGUUUCCCUUGAAUUGUGUGAAUUUUUGGAAUUACUAUGAAAUACAAACAAAACACAGGAUACAGUUCAGAAAUGUUGCAUUUAAUUCAUUAAACAUUAUAUUUUAAUAUAACAAAAGCUUUUUGUUUUAUUAUGCAUAUAUUAAAAAACUUAAGGUGGCAGGGGAUAUAUCAGUGAAAGGGGGGUCCAUGAAAAUUACAUAUCUUUAGGGUAGGUGU